RNAcentral lists this ribosomal RNA (471 nucleotides) under Fusarium kyushuense. RNAcentral's name for it is "eukaryotic LSU rRNA". The stretch from base 118 to 271 matches the Rfam family "5.8S ribosomal RNA". The record is from RNAcentral. Lineage: Eukaryota; Fungi; Ascomycota; Sordariomycetes; Hypocreales; Nectriaceae.
UACCUUAUGUUGCCUCGGCGGAUCAGCCCGCUCCCCGUAAAACGGGACGGCCCGCCGCAGGAACCACCAAACUCUGUUUUUAGUGGAACUUCUGAGUAUAAAAAACAAAUAAAUCAAAACUUUCAACAACGGAUCUCUUGGUUCUGGCAUCGAUGAAGAACGCAGCAAAAUGCGAUAAGUAAUGUGAAUUGCAGAAUUCAGUGAAUCAUCGAAUCUUUGAACGCACAUUGCGCCCGCCAGUAUUCUGGCGGGCAUGCCUGUUCGAGCGUCAUUUCAACCCUCAAGCCCAGCUUGGUGUUGGGAUCUGCGUUGAUUCGCAGUCCCCAAAUCGAUUGGCGGUCACGUCGAGCUUCCAUAGCGUAGUAAUUUACACCUCGUUACUGGUAAUCGUCGCGGCCACGCCGUUAAACCCCAACUUCUGAAUGUUGACCUCGGAUCAGGUAGGAAUACCCGCUGAACUUAAGCAUAUCU